AGCUCUCCUGGUAACAUGAGCAUGAGCAACCAGCCCGGCACUCCGCGAGACGACGGCGAGAUGGGGGGGAACUUCCUGAAUCCCUUUCAGAACGAAAGUUACUCUCCAAACAUGACAAUGAGUGUGUGAGCAGCCAUCUCCGGGGGUCACCGAAGAGAAGUUUAUUUAUCAAGUGUACAGUGAACAGAGGAUCAGUGAACCCACUGUUUCCUGCCUUCAUCAGCUCUGUGAAGAAAGUGGGUCCAAGCCUUUCUUUUCUGUUUUCGUUUUGUUUUGACAUAAUGACUUCUGACACCUUAAAGACUGAACUGCGUUUUAGGAAUCACCCUGACAAAAAAAUAAAGAACUGCAAAACGAUCAUUUGUAUAUACAUCUAUAUAAAUAUUCCCGCCAAGAUCAUCGUAUGGGUUAAGCGUAAUUGAAAACUUUACAUUAAAAAAGGCAAGAAUUGAUUUUUUAAUAUUCUGUUUCAUGUCCACGUUUACAAAUUCUGAUUCUUGAGAAAGGUGUUUUUUUUAUAUAUAUAUUUUCCAUACUUGGAAGUCCAUACCGUGUUGUGUAUACCACUUGCAAGUAAAUUAUUUUAUAGGAAAGGGAGACUUCCAAAUUAAAACAAGGUUACCAUGGUUGAAAAAUUUUAAAAUUUAAGGCAAAGAGCUCCAUUUGUUAUGUUUAUCCUGUGAAUAAACAAAAGCUGUUUAUUGUGUCUAGAAACAGAAAAAAGCCUGUACUGAAUGCUUAAAUUAAAAUAUGUAUACAUAUAGUUACACUCCAAAAUAUUAUCUUGAUUAAUUUGAUAAAAUACAGGUUUAGAUGUCUUACCAGGAUAAUUGAUCUAUUGGGGUGUAUUUUUUUUUGUUGAUUUGAGUUUUAAAUGUUGUAUUUUAUUAUGUAUUUGUGUUUAUAAACGUACAAUGGAGAGAAAAGUUAGAUUUAGAAAAAAUGUAAAGGUUGCUUUGUAUAAUGUACUGUACUGCAUCAAGAUAAUUUUUUGAGUGUGCAAUCUAGAAGCAUGUUGAAUGGUUCCAGAAGCAAUAGUUUCAUAUAUCAUCUGUCUCUCAAAGUUUCACAGAUAGCAACAUAUGCUGUGCGUGCUGUACUGUAGCUCGUUAACUCGGAUUGUGCCCAACGUCAUUGUAGACGAAUUGUAGACAAAGCCCCAAAAUGCAAAGAAUGCAACUAUCCCUCUUUUCUUGUUUGUCCAUGUGCUUUCUCUGUCCUUUCCCAGAUUCAGUAUGCGGAUGUUGUACUGUAUAUAGUCUGUUUCACCUCAGCCUGUCACCACUAGCAUUGUGAGGCGGAACACUAGGCCUGCCUUCAGUUCCUAUUCAGAUCCAUCAAACCGUCCAAACCUGUCGGUGGAGUGGUUAUAACGUUGAACUGCAGGUGUUCAGUUGAAUAAUUUCUUAGUAAACUGACGAGAUCACCUGAGAGUACGUUUUUUUUCAAACUUGAGUUACUUGUUUCUUUUUCAAAUGAAAAGGCAACAGAAAAGCUGGCCCUCUUGGUGCAGGUCAAGGUGAAGCAGACAAUAUUGUUAGGACUUACAUUAUGAUCUAGGGACAGUGGAUCUGGGCCCAGCUUCCUUGAAGGAAAGAUUUUGUUCGCCUCUAAAAGCUUUGUUUCUGUGAUUUCUACGAAGCAGGCUCUGUCUGGUGCCUCCCCUGUGGUAGUGUGAGUGUAGAAAGGCUGGACUGACUCCUGAAAUGAAAUAGCCAUCCCCUCUCUAAGCGAUGAAGCUCCAGGAGUUGAGUCUCUUGAGCGAGAGGCUGGUGCAACUUGCAGGGAAACAAAAUUUGAAACUGAUCUUUUUGCCCUGCUUUUUUCAUCUGGGCUUUUUAUGAAGCCGAAACGAAUUGUUUGACACUUCUGUUUUGGGCAGUUUAUCUUUCUUCUGGAUUUCGUUAGAAGUUCUUUGAUAACCCUUAUUUCAUGUUUCAUGUCAUUGACUGUGUUGCGCACUAGCCUUUGGCACUGAUAAGACUUGCUCUGUUAUGACAACUCUGAUGGGUUUAUACAUAUUUAUAUUUCAUUCAUUUGUAUCAAAUGCUUCUCAACUGGGAAAUGCAACAGGCUAACCCCCGCCUGCUGUUAACUGCCAUUGUCUUUCAGAGGAGCCCAGACGCAGGCACAUAGCUUUUUAUUUUCUUGUCGACACUGAUAUAUAUCCAGAGCUAAAAAGACUUGCAGUCUUAUCAUGUUUUCCUUUGCAUUCAGAGGCCAAUAAGCGCUGUUAUUCUUUCUGUUUUUAAUUGUUUUAAAGUUUCACGGGCAGUUUGCAAAAUAUAUUUUUCGUCUCACCGUCUUUACUUUUCUGACUUUUCGAAAAGGUUGUAUGAAACUCGACUAGGCCACUUCGUCAGCCAUUGAGUUUUGGGUUGGUUUGUUAAGAGGCAUCCCGAAGGAUUCCUGCCAUUCUCCGCAAUAUUGAGCUGCAGGUCUGAAACACCUGGCGCUGCUGGAAAAAAUGAUGGAUGCAAAGAUAAAAGGGUGUUUGGGAUUGACAUUAUUAUAGAUUGUUUAUGUUUUUUGUGAAAAUAACUCGUUUCCUGUUAUGGUUUUACUGUACAUCUACAUGGUACAAUUUUAUGUGUUAUCAGGAAACCCAUCAGAAAGUGUCCCAUACUGAUGCACUCCACACACUGCAGAGUUUUAAAUACUGUAUGUGGUGAACCUAUUUGCUAAAACUGUGCAUUAUAUGCCACCAUUUUACUUCGUUUCCAUGAUUUGUGUCUAUAUAUACCUGCAAAUAUUCUCUCCCCCUUUUGUUUUUGGAAUUUGUUGCUUCGCACCCUGAGUAGCCACUGCCAGUCAACGCGCAGCAGAGACGGACAAAGGCAAUACACGCAGAGUCUGCCGCUUACCGUGUCCUUCCUCCACCAGGGAGCCAGGUUUCAGUUCAGUGUAGGAUCUGCUGCCUCUUGCGGUCUAAGUGCUCUUGCAAUAUUACAGUUUUAAUCGUAAGUCAACCUGAUCUUCUCUACAAUUGACGUGGGAUGUGAAGGGUUAUCCUUCUGCAUUUUUAAGAGUCUUUUAUUUUUAGAUUUAAAGACACCAGAGAACACAGGUGUUGUGAAACCAGCUCAUCCAUUUCUCAAUCCAAAGUGACCCUUUCUUGUAGGGACCGUGCUCUGUCUGACUCAUGGCCACAGUGUGAGAGUUGUCUCUCUUAAGUGGCGGUUUGUUUUCCGUCCCUGCGUGUCUGCACAGUGCGUCUGUGUUUUUCCUCCUGGCUGCAGUCUUGAGAGAGUUGGCUGCUUCGUUCAUCACUGCCCCGAUCCCCAACCCCAUCAAACCUUCACUCCUCUGAGUGCUCCACCAGGGUCACUGAGGGUAGUGGUGUCAGGUGGACCCUGAGAGUGGACUCCUGGGCCGGAGAAUUGCUGUGGUUUAUCAAAAGGAGGCUUUUCUUCUUCUAGCUUCCUCUGCAUUUUGGGUUUAUGAGUAAAGAUUAGCCGCCACAUGUGCUGCCUCCAUUCCAUAACGGGCAACACAAACACCUAAAUAAGCAUGCACAUGGGAGCACUUGGUUCUGUGUGGCAGUGUGUUGUUUUUUGUUUUGAGGGCAGACCAUGCUGUUGAGUAGAAGCAUAGAACAACAGUCUGUCAACAAAAGUUUCAUUCUGCAGGAAGCCACUUGGGUGGGAGAAAACUGUUGUGUAUGUAAUUUGGGCUGCAGAAUGUAUUAGUAGCUAGGACAACUCCCUGGAGCUGGAGGGCUGUGGGUUCCGGUCUGAUCUGGGAUGCUGCUGUGGUACACUGGAUCAACAUACUUCAGCAGAAUCACUCCACUAAAUGCCAUAGCGUGCAUAAAUGGGUCUCCAGGUAGUCAUUGUGAAUGAGAGGUUCAGUUGACGUGUCUGAUUAAAUAAAGGAUAACUCAAAAUAAAUUGGACAAGAAAGAGAGUGCAUUAAUGUCACAUUUUUGGGGGGACAUAUUUAGUUACCUGUUGACUCGCUCUGUGUUGUGCAAAUGCAUGAUGAUGAAGUAUGACAGAGGUAUACAGUAUGUUGCAUAUUACACAAUAAUAUAGCUGUCAAAACGUUUUGGGAUGUGGAAUUUUUUUUUAAAGAAAAACAAUCCUGGAAUUUGACACACAAAUGGGUGGGAUUUCAGAAAUUGUCCCAAGAGAUGAAAGCAGCAGUGAGCAAACUUUGUAAACUAAAAGGUUCUGCAAACAAGGAUAAAGAGGGAAAUGUUUUAAAGAGUUUUGAUAAAACCUGUAUUUAUCCAAGCCAGUCUCUUUAAACUCAUGUCAUCCGGACAAACUGUGAUUUCCUUUCUUUUCCUUCUUGGUAAAAAAAAGGCUUUAUUCUGUUUCUUACCUUAAACCACUGCCCAUUAUUACUAUAGUAAUUAUUAUUAAUGUUAUUAUUAAAAAGCUCAAGUUUCGUGAAAUUUUAUUGUUUUCUCCAAUAUUUUUAUGCAGCAAAUGGCAAUUUUAUAGCUUGAAAAUCCAACUCAUGUGUUUUUGUGAAUUAUUUAAGAAAUACAUAAAAGAACGUUGUUGUUUUUUUGGCAUACGUAUCAUUGUAAUAGUAUCUGCCAUUUUGUUUUUUUUUAAUGAAAAUCUGCGAGUUGGAAAUAUGAGGGAGCCUCUUUUGUAAAUGAAAGACUUGUCACAAAAUUUUUUGGAUUCUGUUUUUUUUUUUUUCAUUUGUGAUGUGUUUAUUUUUUUACCUUGUGUUCAGUUUCUGUAAAUACACUGAAAAGUAUAAUAUGGGUUUUGGAUAUACUGAUAUAAAGUUUCUCUUCUCUGUUAGAGCACUUGUGUCUGCUCUCUUGUUUUUUGUAAAAAAAUAACCUCUCAAUUAAAUAUCUACAGUUUACACUCUGAUUUUAGAGAACAUAAUUCAGAGCUAUCAAGGAAGUACAGUAAUUGUUUCUAGGUCCUGGGUUGCAGAUGUGUUUGAUUAAUUCAAGACCUGUAUGAUUUACAAAAUGAAAGGUGGUUUUUCUGUGAAACAAUUGCUUCCCAUAAAAAGAAGUUCAGAUUCUGAGACAAACACAAUAUUGGCCUGGUUCAGGUAGAUUGUUAUAUUCAAACAUAUCCUACAAAAUCCAAUUUUCAGGGAGAUCUAUGGGAGGAAUCUGUUGUUAUCCUAGUUAAAACUUUGUGGUAAUACUUCACUUGAACAAGGCUAAAAAUCAGCAACACGAUAAACCAUAAAGCAGAGUGCGAUUUCACAUGAAACAUACCAGAACCACUCUUACUGUGCUACGUCUGCAGAAAGUCCUUCCCAACUCUCAAAUCCUUAAUGGCGUCUUCCAUUGCUGUUCCCUUAUUUCUCUCCACCUGGAGUUCUGCUUUUAGCUUUGGGUUGAAGCUCUUUAUGAACUGUGAUAAAAAAUUGC
Molecule: long non-coding RNA, 5356 nt
Filed under: Lepisosteus oculatus (spotted gar)
Lineage: Eukaryota; Metazoa; Chordata; Actinopteri; Semionotiformes; Lepisosteidae
Description: lncRNA (ENSLOCG00000022056.1)
Source: RNAcentral